This 29-nucleotide non-coding RNA is filed under the name Mus musculus (house mouse). Lineage: Eukaryota; Metazoa; Chordata; Mammalia; Rodentia; Muridae. The record is from RNAcentral.
UGAAAGGCAAUGCUCACGAGGAGACAAGA